RNAcentral lists this ribosomal RNA (1333 nucleotides) under uncultured bacterium. Its description in RNAcentral is "bacterial SSU rRNA". It matches the Rfam family "Bacterial small subunit ribosomal RNA", at positions 28 to 1381 of the family's 1533-position model. The record is from RNAcentral.
GACGAACGCUGGCGGCGUGCCUAACACAUGCAAGUCUAACGGAGUUAAGUGCUUCGGUAUUUAACUUAGUGGCGAACGGGUGAGUAACGCGUGAGAAACCUGCCUUUCAGUGGGGGACAACAGUUGGAAACGACUGCUAAUACCGCAUAAUAUACACGGACCGCAUGAUCUGUGUAUCAAAGCUUUAUGUGCUGAAAGAUGGUCUCGCGUCUGAUUAGCUAGUUGGUGAGGUAACGGCUCACCAAGGCGACGAUCAGUAGCCGGUCUGAGAGGAUGAACGGCCACAUUGGGACUGAGAUACGGCCCAGACUCCUACGGGAGGCAGCAGUGGGGAAUAUUGGGCAAUGGGGGAAACCCUGACCCAGCAACGCCGCGUGAAGGAAGAAGGCCUUCGGGUUGUAAACUUCUUUUAGCAGGGACGAAGAACGUGACGGUACCUGCAGAAAAAGCAACGGCUAACUACGUGCCAGCAGCCGCGGUAAUACGUAGGUUGCAAGCGUUGUCCGGAUUUACUGGGUGUAAAGGGCGUGUAGGCGGAGCUGCAAGUCAGAUGUGAAAUCCCGGGGCUCAACCCCGGAACUGCAUUUGAAACUGUAGCCCUUGAGUAUCGGAGAGGCAAGCGGAAUUCCUAGUGUAGCGGUGAAAUGCGUAGAUAUUAGGAGGAACACCAGUGGCGAAGGCGGCUUGCUGGACGACAACUGACGCUGAGGCGCGAAAGCGUGGGGAGCAAACAGGAUUAGAUACCCUGGUAGUCCACGCUGUAAACGAUGAAUACUAGGUGUGGGGGGACUGACCCCUUCCGUGCCGGAGUUAACACAAUAAGUAAUCCACCUGGGGAGUACGACCGCAAGGGUUGAAACUCAAAGGAAUUGACGGGGGCCCGCACAAGCAGUGGAGUAUGUGGUUUAAUUCGAAGCAACGCGAAGAACCUUACCAGGUCUUGACAUCGAGUGACGAACUUAGAGAUAAGUUUUUCCUUCGGGACACGAAGACAGGUGGUGCAUGGUUGUCGUCAGCUCGUGUCGUGAGAUGUUGGGUUAAGUCCCGCAACGAGCGCAACCCUUAUCAUUAGUUGCUACGCAAGAGCACUCUAAUGAGACUGCCGUUGAUAAAACGGAGGAAGGUGGGGAUGACGUCAAAUCAUCAUGCCCCUUAUGACCUGGGCUACACACGUACUACAAUGGUGAUAAAACAGAGGGAAGCAACACAGCGAUGUGAAGCAGAUCCCGAAAAAUCAUCUCAGUUCAGAUUGCAGGCUGCAACUCGCCUGCAUGAAGUCGGAAUUGCUAGUAAUCGCGGAUCAGCAUGCCGCGGUGAAUACGUUCCCGGGCCU